GACGAACGCUGGCGGCGUGCUUAACACAUGCAAGUCGAGCGGUAAGGCCCUUUCGGGGGUACACGAGCGGCGAACGGGUGAGUAACACGUGGGUGACCUGCCCUUAGCUCUGGGAUAAGCCUGGGAAACUGGGUCUAAUACCGCAUACGAUCUCUGCGGCGCGUGCUGUGGGGAUGAAACCCUUCGGGGGCGAGAUGACGGGCUCGCGGCCUAUCAGCUAGUUGGCGGGGUAACGGCCCACCAAGGCGACGACGGGUAGCUGGUCUGAGAGGAUGGCCAGCCACAUUGGGACUGAGAUACGGCCCAGACUCCUACGGGAGGCAGCAGUGGGGAAUAUUGCGCAAUGGCCGAAAGGCUGACGCAGCGACGCCGCGUGUGGGAGGAAGCCC
This 389-nucleotide ribosomal RNA is filed under the name uncultured bacterium. RNAcentral describes it as "bacterial SSU rRNA". It matches the Rfam family "Bacterial small subunit ribosomal RNA", at positions 28 to 416 of the family's 1533-position model. The record is from RNAcentral.